ACGACUCUCGGCAACGGAUAUCUCGGCUCUCGCAUCGAUGAAGAACGUAGCGAAAUGCGAUACUUGGUGUGAAUUGCAGAAUCCCGUGAACCAUCGAGUCUUUGAACGCAAGUUGCGCCCGAUGUCAUCAGGCUGAGGGCACGUCUGCCUGGGCGUCACGC
RNAcentral lists this ribosomal RNA (161 nucleotides) under Petrocosmea coerulea. Its description in RNAcentral is "5.8S ribosomal RNA". It matches the Rfam family "5.8S ribosomal RNA". From Rfam's summary of the family: 5.8S ribosomal RNA (5.8S rRNA) is a component of the large subunit of the eukaryotic ribosome. It is transcribed by RNA polymerase I as part of the 45S precursor that also contains 18S and 28S rRNA. Functionally, it is thought that 5.8S rRNA may be involved in ribosome translocation. Lineage: Eukaryota; Viridiplantae; Streptophyta; Magnoliopsida; Lamiales; Gesneriaceae. The record is from RNAcentral.